AAUGGUCCACCGGUUAUCCAUCCUACGCAUUACAUGGCCUGCCCAGCUCCAUUUCUUCCGCUUAAUGUCAACUAGAAUAUCGGCUAUCCCCGUUUGUUCUCUGAUCCACACCGCUCUCUUCCUGUCUCUUAACGUUAGUCCUAAGAUUUUUCGUUCCAUCGCUCUUUGUGCGGUACUUAACUUGUUCUCGAGCUUCUUUGUUAACCUCCAAGUUUCUGCCCCAUAUGUUAGCACCGGUAGAAUGCAAUGAUUGUACACUUUUCUUUUCAACGACAGUGGUAAGCUCCCAGUCAGGAUUUGGCAAUGCCUGCCGUAUGCACUCCAACCCAAUUUUAUUCUUCUGUAAAUUUCUUUCUCGUGAUCAGGGUCCCCUGUGAGUAACUGACCUAGAUAAACGUACUCCUUUACAGGCUCUAGAGGCUGACUGGCGAUCCUGAAUUCUUGUUCCCUUGCCAGGCUAUUGAACACUAUCUUUGUCUUCUGCACAUUAAUCUUCAACCCCACUCUUACACUUUCUCGGUUAAGGUCCUCAAUCAUUUGCUGUAAUUCGUCUCCAUUGUUACUGAAUAGGACAAUGUCAUCUGCAAACCGAAGGUUGCUGAGAUAUUCGCCGUUGAUCCUCACUCCUAAGCCUUCCCAGUCUAAGAGCUUGAAUACUUCUUCUAAGCAUGCAGUGAAUAACAUUGGAGAGAUUGUGUCUCCUUGCCUGACCCCUUUCUUGAUAGGUAGUUUUCUACUUUU
Long non-coding RNA from Dermacentor silvarum, 741 nucleotides. RefSeq lists it as uncharacterized. The record is from RefSeq and is a predicted model, not a curated record. NCBI's taxonomy places the organism in Eukaryota, Metazoa, Arthropoda, Arachnida, Ixodida, Ixodidae. The transcript is spliced from 3 exons.